UAGGGAAUCUUGCGCAAUGGGCGAAAGCCUGACGCAGCCAUGCCGCGUGAAUGAUGAAGGUCUUAGGAUUGUAAAAUUCUUUCACCGGGGACGAUAAUGACGGUACCCGGAGAAGAAGCCCCGGCUAACUUCGUGCCAGCAGCCGCGGUAAUACGAAGGGGGCUAGCGUUGCUCGGAAUUACUGGGCGUAAAGGGCGCGUAGGCGGACAGUUUAGUCAGAGGUGAAAGCCCAGGGCUCAACCUUGGAAUUGCCUUUGAUACUGGCUGUCUUGAGUGCGGGAGAGGUGUGUGGAACUCCGAGUGUAGAGGUGAAAUUCGUAGAUAUUCGGAAGAACACCAGUGGCGAAGGCGACACACUGGCCCGUUACUGACGCUGAGGCGCGAAAGCGUGGGGAGCAAACAGGAUUAGAUACCCUGGUAGUCCACGCCGUAAACGAUAAUGCUAGUUGUCGGCAUGCAUGCAUGUCGGUGACGCAGCUAACGCAUUAAGCAUUCCGCCUGGGGGAGUACGGUCGCAAGAUUAAAAACUCAAAGGAAUUGACGGGAUC
RNAcentral lists this ribosomal RNA (548 nucleotides) under uncultured bacterium. RNAcentral's name for it is "partial 16S ribosomal RNA". It matches the Rfam family "Bacterial small subunit ribosomal RNA", at positions 355 to 920 of the family's 1533-position model. The record is from RNAcentral.